GGCCUAACACAUGCAAGUCGCACGAGAAAAGGGGCUUCGGCCCCCCAGUAAAGUGGCGGACGGGUGAGUAACACGUGGAUAAUCUACCUCUAAGUGGGGGAUAACUGUCCGAAAGGAUAGCUAAUACCGCAUACGUCUUUCGGGUCACAUGACCUGGGAGGGAAAGCCGGCCACUUCAUGAAAGCUGGCGCUGAGAGAGGAGUCCGCGGCCCAUCAGCUAGUUGGUAGGGUAAUGGCCUACCAAGGCUUAGACGGGUAGCUGGUCUGAGAGGAUGAUCAGCCACACUGGGACUGAGACACGGCCCAGACUCCUACGGGAGGCAGCAGUGGGGAAUAUUGGGCAAUGGGCGCAAGCCUGACCCAGCCACGCCGCGUGAGUGAUGAAGGCCUUCGGGUCGUAAAGCUCUGUGGGGAGGGACGAAAAAACAUUGGCUAAUAUCCAAUGGACUG
RNAcentral lists this ribosomal RNA (450 nucleotides) under uncultured bacterium. RNAcentral describes it as "bacterial SSU rRNA". It matches the Rfam family "Bacterial small subunit ribosomal RNA", at positions 45 to 475 of the family's 1533-position model. The record is from RNAcentral.